UACGAGAGGCCCAAACGUUAUUCGGAUUUACUGGGCUUAAAGAGUUCGUAGGCGGCGCAGAAAGUAGGGUGUGAAAGCCCUCGGCUCAACCGAGGAAUUGCGCUUUAAACUACUGUGCUUGAGGAACCUAGAGGUGAGCGGAACUGAUGGUGGAGCGGUGAAAUGCGCAGAUAUCAGGAGGAACACCUAUUGCGAAGGCAGCUCGCUGGGACGUAACUGACGCUGAGACGCGAAAGCGUGGGGAGCAAACAGG
RNAcentral lists this ribosomal RNA (253 nucleotides) under uncultured bacterium. Its description in RNAcentral is "partial 16S ribosomal RNA". It matches the Rfam family "Bacterial small subunit ribosomal RNA", at positions 524 to 776 of the family's 1533-position model. The record is from RNAcentral.